RNAcentral lists this ribosomal RNA (544 nucleotides) under Conus tribblei. RNAcentral's name for it is "partial 12S ribosomal RNA". The record is from RNAcentral. Lineage: Eukaryota; Metazoa; Mollusca; Gastropoda; Neogastropoda; Conidae.
AAACCAAGGAAUUUAGUCAUUUUUUUUGGUAAAAAGACAGUUAGGCAGAAUAAGAUCAUUGGACCUUUAGUACAGGGGUAAAAUCUAAAUACUAAAAGUUAUAUCAGGUGUGAUUUAUUUAAGACGCUGAAUCUGUGACAACUUUAAGGGAAACUGGGAUUGGAUACCCCAUUAUUUUUAGUAGUAAAUUUAAUCUAGAUUUACCAGAGUACUACGAAUAAAAAAUUUAAAACUCAAAGAGCUUGGCGGUGUUUUAGACCUCUCAGGGGAACCUGUCUCAUAAUCGACAAUCCGCGCUAAACCCGACCCUCUGUAGCAGUUCAGCCUGUAUACCGUUGUCGUCAGGUAACUUCUUAAAAUAUAGUAGUUAGCUCGAGAAUCUUAUUAAUUAGUACGUCAAAUCAAGGUGCAGCUAAUAAGAGGGAGAGGAUGGGUUACAAUUAUAUAUUUAUAAUUACGAAAAACAUCUUAAAUAAAAUGCUGGAAGGAGGACUUGAAAGUAAUUUUGAUUAUAUAAAUAGAAUGAAUAAGGCUCUGAAACGUG